Molecule: ribosomal RNA, 498 nt
Filed under: Dabulamanzia gladius
Lineage: Eukaryota; Metazoa; Arthropoda; Insecta; Ephemeroptera; Baetidae
Description: partial 16S ribosomal RNA
Rfam family: Bacterial large subunit ribosomal RNA
Source: RNAcentral
CAUCGCCUAAAGCUUUAAUUUUAGGUAAUGCCUGCCCAAUGAUUUUUAAUGGCCGCAGUAUCCUGACUGUGCAAAGGUAGCAUAAUCAUUUGUCUUUUAAUUGAAGGCUGGUAUGAAUGGCUUAACGGGGUGGGUGCUGUCCCCUUUAUACAACCUAAACUUAAUAUGUAAGUCAAAAAGCUUACCCUCUUUCGCAGGACGAGAAGACCCCGUAGAUCUUAAUGAAAAUUAACCUAUUCUUUUAGAAUUUACAUAGAGUAGAUUUUCGUAUCAUUUAGUUGGGGCGAUUAUAAACACUUCUUUACCAAACAUCAAUUAAUGGCUAGAUGACCCGCUCAGCGAUUUAAAGAGAAAGUUACCUCGGGGAUAACAGCGUAAUCUAGGUUAAGAGUCCUUAUCAAAACCUAGGGUUGCGACCUCGAUGUUGGAUUAAGAUUCAAAUUAAAUGCAGCAGUUUAAUUUUGGGGUCUGUUCGACCUUUAAAAUCUUACAUGAUCU